UCCGUAGGUGGAUCAAUCAGUCAGAGGUGAAAUCCUGCAGCUUAACUGUAGAACUGCCUUUGAUACUGUUGAUCUUGAGUCAUUAUGAAGUGGUUAGAAUGUGUAGUGUAGCGGUGAAAUGCAUAGAUAUUACACAGAAUACCGAUUGCGAAGGCAGAUCACUAAUAAUGCACUGACACUGAGGUACGAAAGCGUGGGGAGCAAACAGGAUUAGAUACCCUGGUAGUCC
This 229-nucleotide ribosomal RNA is filed under the name uncultured bacterium. RNAcentral describes it as "partial 16S ribosomal RNA". It matches the Rfam family "Bacterial small subunit ribosomal RNA", at positions 568 to 796 of the family's 1533-position model. The record is from RNAcentral.